AUUGAACGCUGGCGGCAUGCCUUACACAUGCAAGUCGAACGGCAGCACGGGCUUCGGUCUGGUGGCGAGUGGCGAACGGGUGAGUAAUGCAUCGGAACGUACCCGUGAGUGGGGGAUAACUAUCCGAAAGGAUAGCUAAUACCGCAUAUUCUGUGAGCAGGAAAGCAGGGGAUCUUCGGACCUUGUGCUCCCGGAGCGGCCGAUGUCAGAUUAGCUAGUUGGUGGGGUAAAGGCCUACCAAGGCGACGAUCUGUAGCGGGUCUGAGAGGAUGAUCCGCCACACUGGAACUGGGACACGGUCCAGACUCCUACGGGAGGCAGCAGUGGAGAAUUUUGGACAAUGGGCGCAAGCCUGAUCCAGCCAUGCCGCGUGAGUGAAGAAGGCCUUCGGGUUGUAAAGCUCUUUCGGCCGGGAAGAAAUCGUACAGGUUAAUACCCUGUGCGGAUGACGGUACCGGCAUAAGAAGCACCGGCUAACUACGUGCCAGCCGCCGCCGUAA
This 500-nucleotide ribosomal RNA is filed under the name uncultured bacterium. RNAcentral describes it as "partial 16S ribosomal RNA". It matches the Rfam family "Bacterial small subunit ribosomal RNA", at positions 30 to 523 of the family's 1533-position model. The record is from RNAcentral.